Molecule: ribosomal RNA, 292 nt
Filed under: uncultured prokaryote
Description: partial 16S ribosomal RNA
Rfam family: Bacterial small subunit ribosomal RNA
Source: RNAcentral
GUGCCAGCAGCCGCGGUAAUACGGAGGGUGCGAGCGUUAAUCGGAAUAACUGGGCGUAAAGCGUACGCAGGCGGAUUGUUAAGCGAGAUGUGAAAGCCCGGGGCUCAACCUCGGAAUUGCAUUUGAAAGUGGCAGGCUAGAGUACUGUAGAGGGGCCAAGAAUUUCAGGUGUAGCGGUGAAAUGCGUAGAGAUCUGAAGGAAUACCGGUGGCGAAGGCGGCCCCCUGGACAGAUGCUGACACUCAGAUGCGAAAGCGUGGGGAGCAAACAGGAUUAGAUACCCCAGUAGUCC